GGGAAACUUUAGGGGUGUCCUUUUCGGACUGAGAUCAUACCCUACGAACCUGAUGCAGUUAGUACUGCCGAAGGGAAAAGUGAAAUAAUGCAU
RNAcentral lists this non-coding RNA (93 nucleotides) under Indibacter alkaliphilus. RNAcentral describes it as "TPP sequence". It matches the Rfam family "TPP riboswitch aptamer (THI element)". From Rfam's summary of the family: Vitamin B(1) in its active form thiamin pyrophosphate (TPP) is an essential coenzyme that is synthesised by coupling of pyrimidine and thiazole moieties in bacteria. The record is from RNAcentral. Lineage: Bacteria; Pseudomonadati; Bacteroidota; Cytophagia; Cytophagales; Cyclobacteriaceae. RNAcentral also lists the same sequence under 1 other name.